UCUCUGGAGGACUAGUGGUUAGGCCAUGGCGCUUUCACCACUGCGGCCCGGGUUCAAUUCCCGGCCAGGGAG
Molecule: transfer RNA, 72 nt
Filed under: Pangasianodon hypophthalmus (striped catfish)
Lineage: Eukaryota; Metazoa; Chordata; Actinopteri; Siluriformes; Pangasiidae
Rfam family: tRNA
About the family: Transfer RNA (tRNA) molecules are approximately 80 nucleotides in length. Their secondary structure includes four short double-helical elements and three loops (D, anti-codon, and T loops).
Source: Rfam by way of RNAcentral